GUGGGGAAUCUUAGACAAUGGGCGCAAGCCUGAUCUAGCCAUGCCGCGUGAGCGAUGAAGGCCUUAGGGUUGUAAAGCUCUUUCGCUGGGGAAGAUAAUGACUGUACCCAGUAAAGAAGCCCCGGCUAACUCCGUGCCAGCAGCCGCGGUAAUACGGAGGGGGCUAGCGUUGUUCGGAAUUACUGGGCGUAAAGCGCAGGUAGGCGGAUCAGAAAGUCAGAGGUGAAAUACAAGGGCUCAACCUUGGAACUGCCUUUUAAACUCCUGGACUUGAGGUCGAGAGAGGUGAGUGGAAUUCCGAUUGUAGAGGUGAAAUUCGUAGAUAUUCGGAGGAACACCAGUGGCGAAGGCGGCUCACUGGCUCGAUACUGACGCUGAGGUGCGAAAGCGUGGGGAGCAAACAGGAUUAGAUACCCCAGUAGUCC
This 425-nucleotide ribosomal RNA is filed under the name uncultured bacterium. RNAcentral's name for it is "partial 16S ribosomal RNA". It matches the Rfam family "Bacterial small subunit ribosomal RNA", at positions 354 to 796 of the family's 1533-position model. The record is from RNAcentral.